RNAcentral lists this ribosomal RNA (573 nucleotides) under Escherichia coli. RNAcentral describes it as "partial 23S ribosomal RNA". It matches the Rfam family "Bacterial large subunit ribosomal RNA", at positions 2349 to 2916 of the family's 2925-position model. The record is from RNAcentral. Lineage: Bacteria; Pseudomonadati; Pseudomonadota; Gammaproteobacteria; Enterobacterales; Enterobacteriaceae.
GUGCAAUGGCAUAAGCCAGCUUGACUGCGAGCGUGACGGCGCGAGCAGGUGCGAAAGCAGGUCAUAGUGAUCCGGUGGUUCUGAAUGGAAGGGCCAUCGCUCAACGGAUAAAAGGUACUCCGGGGAUAACAGGCUGAUACCGCCCAAGAGUUCAUAUCGACGGCGGUGUUUGGCACCUCGAUGUCGGCUCAUCACAUCCUGGGGCUGAAGUAGGUCCCAAGGGUAUGGCUGUUCGCCAUUUAAAGUGGUACGCGAGCUGGGUUUAGAACGUCGUGAGACAGUUCGGUCCCUAUCUGCCGUGGGCGCUGGAGAACUGAGGGGGGCUGCUCCUAGUACGAGAGGACCGGAGUGGACGCAUCACUGGUGUUCGGGUUGUCAUGCCAAUGGCACUGCCCGGUAGCUAAAUGCGGAAGAGAUAAGUGCUGAAAGCAUCUAAGCACGAAACUUGCCCCGAGAUGAGUUCUCCCUGACUCCCUGAGAGUCCUGAAGGAACGUUGAAGACGACGACGUUGAUAGGCCGGGUGUGUAAGCGCAGCGAUGCGUUGAGCUAACCGGUACUAAUGAACCGUGAGG